This 87-nucleotide non-coding RNA is filed under the name Thiocapsa rosea. Lineage: Bacteria; Pseudomonadati; Pseudomonadota; Gammaproteobacteria; Chromatiales; Chromatiaceae. The record is from RNAcentral.
AGGAGCCGGAUGCGGUAGUCCCGCACGUCCGGAUCUGUGGGAGCCGCGGGUGGGUAACCACCCGCGGCCACCCGGUGCCACCCAAAA